RNAcentral lists this ribosomal RNA (536 nucleotides) under uncultured bacterium. RNAcentral's name for it is "partial 16S ribosomal RNA". The record is from RNAcentral.
GUAGUUAGCCGGGGCUUCCUCCUCAGAUACCGUCACUUCCUUCGUCUCUGAGGACAGAGGUUUACAACCCGAAAGCCUUCUUCCCUCACGCGGCGUUGCUGGGUCAGGCUUGCGCCCAUUGCCCAAUAUUCCCCACUGCUGCCUCCCGUAGGAGUCUGGACCGUGUCUCAGUUCCAGUGUGGCCGAUCAGCCUCUCAGCUCGGCUACCCAUCGUUGGCUAGGUGGGCCGUUACCCCGCCUACUACCUAAUGGGACGCGAACCCCUCCUUUAGCGGAUUUCUCCUUUGACCUCUGUGUCAUGCGGCACUGUGGUCUUAUGCGGUAUUAGCACCUGUUUCCAAGUGUUAUCCCCCUCUAAAGGGCAGGUUGUUCACGCGUUACUCACCCGUUCGCCACUAGGUACAAAACCGAAGUCUCGUACCCCGUUCGACUUGCAUGUGUUAGGCACGCCGCCAGCGUCGUCCUCGAGCCACGUAGACUACUAACUACGUACGUACGUACGACGGCGGCGGUCGGACGGACGGACGACGACGUAG